This 98-nucleotide non-coding RNA is filed under the name Paraburkholderia ginsengiterrae. The record is from RNAcentral. Lineage: Bacteria; Pseudomonadati; Pseudomonadota; Betaproteobacteria; Burkholderiales; Burkholderiaceae.
UUCUAUGGGCGGGUCUUUGGUGGGGGAGCCUCGCGGCUCGCCGGUUUGUGGUGCUACGCGCCGGUCUGUUAACCCUAUCAUUGUGCCCGCUCACCCAG